AGUGAACGCUGGCGGUAGGCCUAACACAUGCAAGUCGAACGGCAGCACAGUAAGGGUUUGCUCUUACGGGUGGCGAGGGGCGGAGGGGUGAGGAAUACAUCGUUAUCUACUGUUUCGUGGGGGAUAACUGAGGGAAACUUACGCUAAUACCGCAUACGACCUACGGGUGAAAGUAGGGGAUCUUCGGACCUUGCGCGAUUGGAUUAGCAGAUGUCGGAUUAGCUAGUUGGGUGGGUAAAGGCCCACCAAGGCGACGGUCCGUAGCUGGUCUGAGAGGAUGAUCAGCUCCACUGGACCUGAAACACGGUCCAGACUACUCUGGGAGGCAGCAGAGGGGAAUGUUAGACAAUGGGAGCAAGCCUGAUCCAGUCCUACCGCGUGGGUGACAGAGGCAUUCGGGUUGUAAAGGCCUUUUGUUGGGAAACAAAAGCAGCCGCUUCAUACCCCGCUGUUCUGACGGUACCGAAAGAAUAAGCACCGGCUAACUCCGUG
RNAcentral lists this ribosomal RNA (492 nucleotides) under uncultured bacterium. Its description in RNAcentral is "partial 16S ribosomal RNA". It matches the Rfam family "Bacterial small subunit ribosomal RNA", at positions 29 to 507 of the family's 1533-position model. The record is from RNAcentral.